Molecule: ribosomal RNA, 253 nt
Filed under: uncultured bacterium
Lineage: Bacteria
Description: partial 16S ribosomal RNA
Rfam family: Bacterial small subunit ribosomal RNA
Source: RNAcentral
GACGUAGGGUGCAGGCGUUGUCCGGAUUUAUUGGGCGUAAAGAGCUCGUAGGCGGCUUGUUGCGUCGACUGUGAAAACCCGCGGCUUAACCGCGGGCUUGCAGUUGAUACGGGCAGGCUAGAGUUCGGUAGGGGAGACUGGAAUUCCUGGUGUAGCGGUGAAAUGCGCAGAUAUCAGGAGGAACACCGGUGGCGAAGGCGGGUCUCUGGGCCGAUACUGACGCUGAGGAGCGAAAGCGUGGGGAGCGAACAGG